AGCGGCGGACGGGUGAGUAACACGUGGGUAACCUGCCUGUAAGACUGGGAUAACUCCGGGAAACCGGGGCUAAUACCGGAUGCUUGAUUGAACCGCAUGGUUCAAUCAUAAAAGGUGGCUUUUAGCUACCACUUACAGAUGGACCCGCGGCGCAUUAGCUAGUUGGUGAGGUAACGGCUCACCAAGGCGACGAUGCGUAGCCGACCUGAGAGGGUGAUCGGCCACACUGGGACUGAGACACGGCCCAGACUCCUACGGGAGGCAGCAGUAGGGAAUCUUCCGCAAUGGACGAAAGUCUGACGGAGCAACGCCGCGUGAGUGAUGAAGGUUUUCGGAUCGUAAAACUCCGUUGUUAGGGAAGAACAAGUACCGUUCGAAUAGGGCGGCACCUUGACGGUACCUAACCAGAAAGCCACGGCUAACUACGUGCCAGCAGCCGCGGUAAUACGUAGGUGGCAAGCGUUGUCCGGAAUUAUUGGGCGUAAAACGCGCGCAGGCGGUUUCUUAAGUCUGAUGUGAAAGCCCCCGGCUCAACCGGGGAGGGUCAUUGGAAACUGGGGAACUUGAGUGCAGAAGAGGAGAGUGGAAUUCCACGUGUAGCUGUGAAAUGCGUAGAGAUGUGGAGGUACACCAGUGGCGAAGGCGAC
RNAcentral lists this ribosomal RNA (647 nucleotides) under uncultured Bacilli bacterium. Its description in RNAcentral is "bacterial SSU rRNA". It matches the Rfam family "Bacterial small subunit ribosomal RNA", at positions 94 to 725 of the family's 1533-position model. Lineage: Bacteria; Bacillati; Bacillota; Bacilli. The record is from RNAcentral.